CCUAAAAAUAAUGACCUGUGGCAUCACAACCUGGUACAAGAGAACUACCUAAUGGGCAAUUCUGAAGUCUAGGCUGUGGCUGAGCUCAUGCUGGGAAAGACAGAGGAAUGAAAGGCCUCUAUAAAAUGAAUUUUAGCUGUGCUUUGCACCAAGCAUCCAGAAGAGUCAUAAAGCUGAGCUUAAAAUUUUUGUGUGAAGACAGUAUUGGUCUGAAGUUACCAGCCAGGGAAGGCUAUUGAGUAUUGGUGAAGCACUUGGAGCACAGAAAGAAUGGGAUGUUUUACAGUCCUGGAUUAAAUUCACAGUUAAAUGUCUCAGGUAAUUUACCUGAAGUGUUUACCACAUCACUCAAGAGCAUUCUGUUGUCUGCUAGAUUUCAUAAGCAAGGAGUUUUCUUUUUUAUUUAUUUGAGCUGCUUGCUUUUUCUGAACAAAUAAAUGACCAAAUAAAAACCAAAUCUGAAAACCUUC
This is a long non-coding RNA of Vidua chalybeata, 470 nucleotides long. RefSeq lists it as uncharacterized. The transcript has 2 exons. Lineage: Eukaryota; Metazoa; Chordata; Aves; Passeriformes; Viduidae. The record is from RefSeq and is a predicted model, not a curated record.